Molecule: long non-coding RNA, 827 nt
Filed under: Androctonus crassicauda
Lineage: Eukaryota; Metazoa; Arthropoda; Arachnida; Scorpiones; Buthidae
Source: RNAcentral
UGUACAGAAAACCAUCUUAUGAAUCCAUUAUUAUCCCAAAAUGGUCUUCAGAUCCAAUGAGAUAUAAAAUAUCUGUCUUCAGUUUUUAUUUUAGAAGAGCUAGUAUGUAUAUCACUGACCAACAGGAAAUGGAGAAAGAGUUUAAAUACAUCUACCAAAUAGGCCACCAGCAUGGGUAUGAUAUAUGCUUUUUGCAAAACAUUUAUCAUGGAACACAACAGCCCCAUGCACCUCAAUUAGAAAACAGGAGAAACCAAAUUCUUUAUGUCUUUCCUUACCAGGAGAAACCAAACUAAUCAAGGUUUUGUGCAGGUACCUUAUGCAACGAAGGAAUGCAUAAAAAUUAACAUAUAAAAGGCAAUCAAUGAUUUAUAGUCAGCUUAGGAAUGAGAUAGAACCUAAGAAGAACAUGCAAAAAUCAGGAUUCUACAGGAUACCCGUCAGAAAUACUAAAACAAGGGAACAACAAGCUUAUAUGUGUUACAACAAAGACUUUAAAUUAGAGACUACAAGAACAUAAAAGGGAUAUAGCUAAUGCUGAAUUGAACACAGCCCUAAUAAUGAGUGUGUAUGAUAAUGAAUUAGAAAUAGAUUGGCAGGAAACCUGAGUAAUAAAAUCAUUGGGUAAGAUGACUCAUGCAACAUUAGUGGAGACUCUUGAAAUAUUUACGAAGGACAAAGAAGAGCAGCUCUUAAAUGACCGCCCUGCAAUGGAACUAGCCACCCCUUGGAAAUAUCUGCUUAACAAGAUUGAGAGUUGGUUGAAGAAUGUUUUAUUUUUAUGAACUAAAUUUCUAUGUUUUUCAUUGUAUAAUAACUCCGUUUUA